CCAAGGGUUGGGCUGUUCGCCCAUUAAAGCGGUACGCGAGCUGGGUUCAGAACGUCGUGAGACAGUUCGGUCCCUAUCCGUCGCGGGCGUAGGAAAUUUGAGAAGAGCUGCCCUUAGUACGAGAGGACCGGGGUGGACAUACCGCUGGUGUACCAGUUGUGCCGCCAGGCGCAGAGCUGGGUAGCUAUGUAUGGCAAGGAUAAGCGCUGAAAGCAUCUAAGUGUGAAGCCCCCUUCGAGAUGAGAUUUCCCAUUCCUUUAAGGAAGUAAGACCCCUGAGAGAUGAUCAGGUAGAUAGGCUGGGAGUAGCAGCCCCGUGAGGGGUGGAGCGGACCAGUACUAAUCGGUCGAGGACUUGACCAA
Molecule: non-coding RNA, 362 nt
Filed under: Schleiferilactobacillus perolens DSM 12744
Lineage: Bacteria; Bacillati; Bacillota; Bacilli; Lactobacillales; Lactobacillaceae
Description: Lactobacillus perolens DSM 12744 Bacterial large subunit ribosomal RNA
Rfam family: Bacterial large subunit ribosomal RNA
Source: Rfam by way of RNAcentral